Molecule: long non-coding RNA, 1564 nt
Organism: Esox lucius (northern pike)
Lineage: Eukaryota; Metazoa; Chordata; Actinopteri; Esociformes; Esocidae
Source: Ensembl
UAGAUUUGCAGCAGUAGCAGUCAUAGCUAGCCUAGCUAAUGUUGCAGGCACAUUUUUGUGUGAAGUAUUUGAAUGAGUCUGAUGGGAAAAUGUCUGCAAUUUACAACAUGUUCCAGUCAGAAACAACAGCGAUUAUGGCCUUUGUCGUCGAGACGGCAGUUAGAGAAAUUGGCCAACUUCGGCCAAACAUAGCAAAGUCUGACGUUAGUUACGACGUAAGUAAUCCGACGAGAAAGCUUUGCACCAUUAUGAAUCUGGUGGCAGUGGAGGCAGUUCGUAAAAUCUGCCAACUAUUCCUAGUGGCCUCUUCCAAUUUACAACAUGAAAACAAGAAACUGAAGAUCAAGUUUGAGCAGAUGGAUGAAGCCCUGAAGGCCAAGGUGGAGCAGAUGGAAGAAGCCCUGAAGGCCAAGGUGGAGCAAAUGGAUGAAGAUCUGAAGGCCAUGACAGAAAAAGCUGAACAUUACAGAACAUCGCUGGUUAAAGUGCAAACCGAAUCAAAAGGACCAACCCAUGUCCUUCACAAUGGAAUCAUCUUUGAAAUAAAACCAGUCGAACUUCCAAUGUUGCCUGGAAUGACCGUGGCUUCAGCAUUGCCGGGUCAAGCAAACACUGUCAGCAACGCAUCUGCCGUCUGUGCAGGUAUUAUUCUCAAUGUGAUGUAACAAAAUAAUUGUUUAUUCUAGAAUAUACCCAUGGUAUAUUCAUUAGAGAAAGAACAUGGCAAACAGUUGAAAAUCUUAACUGAAAACGCUUUGCAAUGGAGACAAAUUCAGGUUCAUUUCAUGACAUUUGCUUCUGUUGGAUUCUGUUUGUUCCAUUGUGAUUACAUCCCAGACCUGUAUGUAUUGUUUAGCAUUAAUGGUGCCUUCACAGAUUAGGGCACUAAUGCACCCCCCCAUACCAUCACAGAUGCUGACUUUUGUACUGAGCGCUGAUAAGCCGGAAGGUCCCCCUCCUAUUUUGUCCGGAGAUAAUAUUUUAGAUUCCCCAAAAUGAUAAUUUUGAUUUGUCAGUCCAUCUUAAAUGAGUUUGGGCCCAGAGAAGGUGGCGGCAGUUCUUGUUUCCAUAUGUUUUCCUCUUUGCAUGGUGGAUGCAGCGAUGAACUGUGUUCACAGUACAGACAGUGGUUUUCGGUAGGACAUUCUCACUUUUGUUGCCAGCGGUUUAGAGAUUGAUGGCUGUGUGUUUUGUUAUUUUGAGGGGACAGCACAUGUACACUGUAAUACAAGCUGUACACCUCACUACUUUACAUUUUAGAAAAGUCUCAUUUCUUCAGUGUUGUCACAUGAAAAGAUAUAAUCAAAUAUUUACAAAAAUGUGAGGGAUGUACUCACUUUUGUGAGAUACUGUACAUGCACAUUCCUUCACAGAGUGGUGAACCCCUCUCCAUCCUCAAUUCUGAGAGACCCAUCCUCUCUGGAAUGAUCUUUUAAUAUCAAAUCAUGUUACUGACCUGUUGCCAAUUGACCUAAUUAGUUGUGUGAAAUUCCACCAGGUUUAGUUUUUUAGCAUUACACAACUUUUCCAGUCUUUUGUUGCCUCUGCCACAACAGUUUUGAAA